This 406-nucleotide ribosomal RNA is filed under the name uncultured bacterium. RNAcentral describes it as "partial 16S ribosomal RNA". It matches the Rfam family "Bacterial small subunit ribosomal RNA", at positions 30 to 526 of the family's 1533-position model. The record is from RNAcentral.
AUUGAACGCUGGCGGCAUGCCUAACACAUGCAAGUCGAACGAGUCGCGGACGGGUGAGCUAUGUCUUGGAAACUGCAUGAUGGAGCGGGAUCACUACUGUAAACGUUAGCUAAUACCGCAUACCUUCCCAUGUGCCAAUUUGGGAUUAACUAGUUGGUGGGGUAACGGCUCACCAAGGCGACGAUCCCUAGCAGGUCUGAGAGGAUGACCAGCCACACUGGAACUGAGACACGGCCCAGACUCAUACGGGAGGCAGCAGUAGGGAAUAGUGCGCAAUGGGCGCAAGCCUGAGGCAGCCAGGCCGAGUGUAUGAAGAAGGCGUUCGGUGUGUAAAGUGCUUUCAUCAGGGAGGCGUUACCAACAGAAGAAGCAACGGCUAACUCCGUGCCAGCAGCCGCGGUAAUAC